UGUGAGAGGUUGUAGAGGACGAGCUUUCAGUCCUUUCGCAUUAUCAACGUGUAGUCUUCGCACUCGAGCGAUUCAUCACAGGGCAGAUACUCUUCGGAAUAGAGGACGUUCUUAUUCCAACCUGAGUUUAGGACAUUUUCACCAGCAAGAGAAGGAAGGAGGGAGGGAGGGAGAGAGAAAGGGUUGAGAGGAGGAGAAGAAAGGGUAGGGUGAGGCAGGAUGGUUGGCAUGGUUUGUAGGGUAGAAGGUGGGAUAGAGUGC
This 261-nucleotide long non-coding RNA is filed under the name Amborella trichopoda. Its description in RNAcentral is "long non-coding RNA (ATRI_LNC003157)". Lineage: Eukaryota; Viridiplantae; Streptophyta; Magnoliopsida; Amborellales; Amborellaceae. The record is from RNAcentral.